UCUCCGUUCCUGCUGUAUCUAAGCGAGGUGACUCGUCUGCAUUCUGGGUUUGCAUUUUAUUAGGAGAAACACAGCUUCCCUGACUCCCGCCCCUGAGGUCCACUGGGGAGGAACACAGCAGAAGCUCAGCGUCAGAUGGCUGAUGAUCCCAUUGUAUUUUCAAGAUAGGAACAUGGCUGUUCUGAAUCAGAACUUUGCGUCACAUGUGAUGGAGAACCUUCUUCUCCCAGCUGCAGGCUUGCUGCCAUUCUCCAAGGCGUCCACAGCGUUCAGUGCAUUGCCCAUUGUACAGACGAGAAGACUGAGUGUUGGGGAAUGGAGCCCAAAGAACCACAGGUAGAAAACUUCAACGCUGACUUACAAAUCCAGCUCUACCCAACUCCCAAACUUCUCCUCAUUCCGUUUCUGUCACGCCUCUCUGCCAAUCAGGUCUAGUCUCUUAGUCACACUGCAUCCCAUGCGGACCCCAAUGGGAACUCUGGGCGGCUCUGCCCGCAGCCUGCUGGACAGAGGUGGGUCUCUCACACCCUCUGCUUUGUCUCUCAAGUGGCCUGGCCUCUCUCCAGGCCCCAGCAAGCUAUCUGCUCCCAUGUCAACCGUUUUUCGGGGCCUCCUGUCACCCGUGUUUUAUAACCUCCUCAGUGAAGAGCAAAUCUGUAUUGAUUUCAGAACAACUCAGGCUGUAAAUUACAGGUCGUGAUUGGCUUGGUCACCCCGAAAUGAAAAUCUAUCCACUGCACCAGGCGUCUAAAUCUAAUUAUCGUUGCAGGAAGCCCAUUGGCAGGGUAGCCUGGUGCCUGUGCAGAAAGGAAUGUUUCAGAUGGUCAGCAGCAGCCUGCAAAAUACAUACCACAAAAUUUAGAGCUGCCCCUAGUGUUUGUCUGGCAAACAGAAGUCUCGCAGGUUGCUUUGAUCAUCAAAUUGAAUAUCAGAAGUGACCUUGAGCCAUUUCUGUUAUUAAUAAUAGUAGUAAUAAUGAGAAUGAUAAAAUAACUGUAGCUAAUAGUCGCUGAUGGUUUGCAUGCACUCUUUCAUCUGGAAACCUCAGAGCUGUUCGUCACUUACUGGCUGUGGGACUCUGGGCCAAUUACUUAGCUUCUCUAUGCCUCUGUUUCCUUAGCUGUAAACUGAGGGAGAGAAGCAAUAUGUGGUUCAUCACAUUGAGGGAAAGGUUAAAUAAAGUGAUUUAUGCAAAUUGCUGAGAUCAGGAGCAAGGUGCAUUCUUGCAGUCAUUAUUCAUGAAGAAACAGAAACUCAGAGAAGUUAAGAGACUUCCCCGAGGUCACACAGCUAACAGUAAUUUUUGUCUGCAGCCUGGCGCAUUGUUUUUAAAAUGCUGUUUAAUUGCCAGCAUUGAAAAAUGCAGCUGAUUUCCUGUUUCUCUUGAGUAUUGGAGAAAAACUGGCAGCAACGAGGCCAUGUUUCUUUCUACCAGGCUUCCCUAACUAAAUCUAUUCUGGAAGGCCAGCUAAACCCCAGAGUGCCAAAGACUCUUGUGCAAAAACAAACCAACACCCCCCAAUUUAGGGGGUUUUGAGGUUGUCUGGAGACAACCAUCAAAGGCUUUGAGUGCUCUGAAUCAAUUAAUGACCAGCAGCAGCUGAGCCCAUUACGUGGGGUUUGUCUCCUGCUUUGCCACAGUCCCCACCAGUCCCUGCUGCCCUGCACCCCGCCUACCUCUCCCACAAGGCCUGUUUGGCCUCUGUAGACACUGGAGAUUAGGGGAUGAUCAGCACACUCAAAUCCAUGAGAACUCUACCACUGUCACCCUUAGUUUACAGAUGCAGGC
Molecule: long non-coding RNA, 1789 nt
Organism: Mustela erminea (ermine)
Lineage: Eukaryota; Metazoa; Chordata; Mammalia; Carnivora; Mustelidae
Exons: 3
Source: RefSeq, a predicted model, not a curated record